CAACCUCUAGCAAUGUUUCAUUAUAGUCAAUGCCUAAAAAGCUUAAUUGUGGAGGACUGUAAUGACUUGAAAUUUUUGUUUUCAUCCUCUAUGGUCAAAAGUCUAAAUCAACUCCAAGAGCUUUUGAUAAGCAAUUGAAAUUUGAUUGAAUUCCCUUUCUUAAAAGAACUUCACAUUGAGCAUUGCCAUAAUUUGAAGACAUUCUUCUGCAAAUCUUUUUAUCCAGAAAUAGAGGGAAAAGCUAAGGAAGAGGUGAACUUGGAAAAUGACUUUAUUAACGUAAACCCACUCUUCGAUGAAAAGGUUGCUUUUCCAAGUUUGGAGAAGAUGGUGCUCUUGCACUUGGAUAACUUGGAGCUGAUAUGGCAAAAACAAAAACUCCAUGUGGAUUCCUUUUGCAAACUAAAAGUAGUGAGAGUUGAAUCAUGUGAAAAGUUGUUAACUAUUGUUCCAUCUGAUACUCAAGGACAUCUCACCUUUCACAAUUUGGAGAUAUUGGAAGUUAAUAAUUGUUGGAGUAUGAAAAGUCUCUUUCCAGUUUCUACCGCUACUUGUCUCAUGCAACUUAAAGAGCUACUGAUAUACUCUUGUGGGUUGGAGAAAAUUGUUUAUG
This is a long non-coding RNA of Mangifera indica (mango), 613 nucleotides long. RefSeq lists it as uncharacterized. The transcript has 3 exons. The record is from RefSeq and is a predicted model, not a curated record. Lineage: Eukaryota; Viridiplantae; Streptophyta; Magnoliopsida; Sapindales; Anacardiaceae.